GAUCAUGGCUCAGGAUGAACGCUGGCGGCGUGCCUAACACAUGCAAGUCGAACGAAGCACCUUACCUGAUUCUUCGGAUGAAGGUCUGGUGACUGAGUGGCGGACGGGUGAGUAACGCGUGGGUAACCUGCCCUGUACAGGGGGAUAACAGCUGGAAACGGCUGCUAAUACCGCAUAAGCGCACGAGGAGACAUCUCCUUGUGUGAAAAACUCCGGUGGUACAGGAUGGGCCCGCA
Molecule: ribosomal RNA, 236 nt
Filed under: uncultured bacterium
Lineage: Bacteria
Description: partial 16S ribosomal RNA
Rfam family: Bacterial small subunit ribosomal RNA
Source: RNAcentral